CCUACGGGAGGCAGCAGUGAGGAAUAUUGGUCAAUGGGCGGAAGCCUGAACCAGCCAAGUCGCGUGAGGGAUUAAGGCCCUGCGGGUCGUAAACCUCUUUUGCCGGGGAGCAGUGGUCCGGACGCGUCCGGCCCGGGAGAGUACCCGGAGAAAAAGCAUCGGCUAACUCCGUGCCAGCAGCCGCGGUAAUACGGAGGAUGCGAGCGUUAUCCGGAUUUAUUGGGUUUAAGGGGUGCGUAGGCGGGCAUUUAAGCGUGCCGUGAAAUUUUGGGGCUCAACCAUGAGAGUGCGGCGCGAACUGGAGACCUUGAGUGCGCGGAAGGCAGGCGGGAUUCGUGGGGGAGCGGUGAAAUGCUUAGAUAUCACGAAGAACCCCGAUUGCGAAGGCAGCCUGCCGCAGCGUGACUGACGCUGAAGCUCGAAAGCGCGGGUAUCGAACAGGAUUAGAUACCCGUGUAGUC
Molecule: ribosomal RNA, 461 nt
Filed under: uncultured bacterium
Lineage: Bacteria
Description: partial 16S ribosomal RNA
Rfam family: Bacterial small subunit ribosomal RNA
Source: RNAcentral